CGGCGGACGGGUGAGUAACGCGUGGGAACCUGCCUAUUGGUACGGAACAACAGUUAGAAAUGACUGCUAAUACCGUAUACGCCCUUCGGGGGAAAGAUUUAUCGCCGAUAGAUGGGCCCGCGUUAGAUUAGCUAGAUGGUAAGGUAACGGCUUACCAUGGCGACGAUCUAUAGCUGGUUUGAGAGGAUGAUCAGCCACACUGGGACUGAGACACGGCCCAGACUCCUACGGGAGGCAGCAGUGGGGAAUAUUGGACAAUGGGGGCAACCCUGAUCCAGCGAUGCCGCGUGUGUGAUGAAGGCCUUAGGGUUGUAAAACACUUUCACAGGGGAUGAUAAUGACAGUACCCUGAGAAGAAGCUCCGGCUAGCUCCGUGCCAGCAGCCGCGGUAAUACGGAGGGAGCUAGCGUUGUUCGGAAUUACUGGGCGUAAAGCGCGCGUAGGCGGCUUAGCAAGUUGGGGGUGAAAGCCCGGAGCUUAACUCCGGAACUGCCUCCAAAACUGCUAAGCUAGAAUCCUGGAGAGGUGAGUAGAAUUCCUAGUGUAGAGGUGAAAUUCGUAGAUAUUAGGAAGAAUACCAGUGGCGAAGGCGGCUCACUGGACAGGUAUUGACGCUGAGGUGCGAAAGCGUGGGGAGCGAACAGGAUUAGAUACCCUGGUAGUCCACGCCGUAAACGAUGGGUGCUAGUUGUUGGGUAGCUUGCUAUUCAGUGACGUAGCUAACGCGUUAAGC
Molecule: ribosomal RNA, 733 nt
Filed under: uncultured bacterium
Lineage: Bacteria
Description: bacterial SSU rRNA
Rfam family: Bacterial small subunit ribosomal RNA
Source: RNAcentral